Molecule: ribosomal RNA, 253 nt
Filed under: uncultured bacterium
Lineage: Bacteria
Description: partial 16S ribosomal RNA
Rfam family: Bacterial small subunit ribosomal RNA
Source: RNAcentral
UACGUAGGUGGCAAGCGUUGUCCGGAUUUAUUGGGUUUAAAGGGUGCGUAGGCGGCUUUGUAAGUCAGUGGUGAAAUACUCCAGCUUAACUGGAGGGGUGCCAUUGAUACUGCGGAGCUUGAGUACAGAUGAGGUAGGCGGAAUUGACGGUGUAGCGGUGAAAUGCAUAGAUAUCGUCAAGAACACCGAUAGCGAAGGCAGCUUACUGGGCUGUAACUGACGCUGAUGCACGAAAGUGUGGGGAUCAAACAGG